UACGAAGGGGGCUAGCGUUGCUCGGAAUUACUGGGCGUAAAGGGAGCGUAGGCGGAUAGUUUAGUCAGAGGUGAAAGCCCAGGGCUCAACCUUGGAAUUGCCUUUGAUACUGGCUAUCUUGAGUAUGGGAGAGGUGUGUGGAACUCCGAGUGUAGAGGUGAAAUUCGUAGAUAUUGGGAAGAACACCGGUGGCGAAGGCGGCGAGCUGGUCCAUUACUGACGCUGAGGCGCGAAAGCGUGGGGAGCAAACAGG
RNAcentral lists this ribosomal RNA (253 nucleotides) under uncultured bacterium. RNAcentral's name for it is "partial 16S ribosomal RNA". It matches the Rfam family "Bacterial small subunit ribosomal RNA", at positions 524 to 776 of the family's 1533-position model. The record is from RNAcentral.